GGAAGUAAAAGUCAUAACAAGGUUUCCGUAGGUGAGCCUGCGGAAGGAUCAUUCAUAAUAAGUGUUUUACUGCACUUUUUAAAAAUAGUACUCACCUUGUGUGCAAUGUUGUGUUUCUUUUCGGAGAAACACCUACACCAACCUAUAACCUUGAACCACUUUGUCUGAAAAACUAUUAUGAAUACUUAAUUCAAAAUACAACUUUCAACAACGGAUCUCUUGGCUCUC
Molecule: unclassified non-coding RNA, 228 nt
Filed under: plant metagenome
Description: partial contains small subunit ribosomal RNA, internal transcribed spacer 1, and 5.8S ribosomal RNA
Rfam family: Eukaryotic small subunit ribosomal RNA (bases 1-54)
Source: RNAcentral